UACGGAGGGGGCUAGCGUUGUUCGGAAUUACUGGGCGUAAAGCGCGCGCAGGCGGAUAUUCAAGUCGGGGGUGAAAUCCCGGGGCUCAACCCCGGAACUGCCUCCGAUACUGGGUGUCUGGAGGACGGGAGAGGCGAGUGGAAUGCCGAGUGUAGAGGUGAAAUUCGUAGAUAUUCGGCGGAACACCCGUGGCGAAGGCGGCUCGCUGGCCCGUUUCUGACGCUGAGGCGCGAAAGCGUGGGGAGCAAAC
RNAcentral lists this ribosomal RNA (250 nucleotides) under uncultured bacterium. Its description in RNAcentral is "partial 16S ribosomal RNA". It matches the Rfam family "Bacterial small subunit ribosomal RNA", at positions 524 to 773 of the family's 1533-position model. The record is from RNAcentral.